GGCGAACGCUGGCGGCGUGCCUAAUACAUGCAAGUCGAGCGCAGGAAACUGACGGAACUCUUCGGAGGGAAGGCAGUGGAAUGAGCGGCGGACGGGUGAGUAACACGUAAGGGACCUGCCUCAAGGAUUGGGAUAACUCCGAGAAAUCGGAGCUAAUACCGGAUAGUUCAUCGGACCGCAUGGUCCGUUGAUGAAAGGCGCUCCGGCGUCACCUUGAGAUGGCCUUGCGGUGCAUUAGCUAGUUGGUGGGGUAACGGCCCACCAAGGCGACGAUGCAUAGCCGACCUGAGAGGGUGAUCGGCCACACUGGGACUGAGACACGGCCCAGACUCCUACGGGAGGCAGCAGUAGGGAAUCUUCCACAAUGGACGAAAGUCUGAUGGAGCAACGCCGCGUGAGUGAUGAAGGUUUUCGGAUCGUAAAACUCUGUUGUAAGGGAAGAACACGUACGAGAGGGAAUGCUCGUACCUUGACGGUACCUUACGAGAAAGCCACGGCUAACUACGUGCCAGCAGCCGCCGUAA
RNAcentral lists this ribosomal RNA (524 nucleotides) under uncultured bacterium. RNAcentral describes it as "partial 16S ribosomal RNA". It matches the Rfam family "Bacterial small subunit ribosomal RNA", at positions 28 to 523 of the family's 1533-position model. The record is from RNAcentral.